GGGGAUGCAUCGGCUUUGACAUGUGAAUUCCCUACGUUCUUUGCAUACCAAGUGCCUUGGAAACUUGUAAAACUUCCUGAACUUUUUGAAAUGCAAACUCAAAAUCAAUUGUGAAGUCUCCGUACGCGGGGGCAUUCGCAUUCGCGUAAAUCGCGAACGUUGCCUUACCUGACAUCCGAUGUGGUAAAUGCAAUGUCAUAAACUCGGGUAUGACUACAUGUGCCGUCUGAGCACGUAGUCGAGAUUAAACAGACUCGCUAGGUGGUAUUGUUUCGCAGUGCGUUUUAUACCAUCGGCUAAAACUGGACUUUGCAGUUUGGUAACGCACUGAUAUGUAUGUAGAAAAAGUUUGUAGGCUCAUAUGGACGGCGGUUCGAAUCCGCCCAUCUCCACAC
This 395-nucleotide small RNA is filed under the name Candidatus Nomurabacteria bacterium. RNAcentral describes it as "transfer-messenger RNA". It matches the Rfam family "transfer-messenger RNA". From Rfam's summary of the family: Bacterial tmRNA, also known as 10Sa RNA or SsrA, is named for its dual tRNA and mRNA-like properties. Its role is to liberate the mRNA from a stalled ribosome. The record is from RNAcentral. Lineage: Bacteria; Candidatus Nomuraibacteriota.